AAGAGUUUGAUCAUGGCUCAGAUUGAACGCUGGCGGCAGGCCUAACACAUGCAAGUCGAACGGUAACAGAAAGCAGCUUGCUGCUUUGCUGACGAGUGGCGGACGGGUGAGUAAUGUCUGGGAAACUGCCCGAUGGAGGGGGAUAACUACUGGAAACGGUAGCUAAUACCGCAUAACGUCGCAAGACCAAAGAGGGGGACCUUAGGGCCUCUUGCCAUCGGAUGUGCCCAGAUGGGAUUAGCUAGUAGGUGGGGUAAAGGCUCACCUAGGCGACGAUCCCUAGCUGGUCUGAGAGGAUGACCAGCCACACUGGAACUGAGACACGGUCCAGACUCCUACGGGAGGCAGCAGUGGGGAAUAUUGCACAAUGGGCGCAAGCCUGAUGCAGCCAUGCCGCGUGUAUGAAGAAGGCCUUCGGGUUGUAAAGUACUUUCAGCGGGGAGGAAGGGAGUAAAGUUAAUACCUUUGCUCAUUGACGUUACCCGCAGAAGAAGCACCGGCUAACUCCGUGCCAGCAGCCGCGGUAAUACGGAGGGUGCAAGCGUUAAUCGGAAUUACUGGGCGUAAAGCGCACGCAGGCGGUUUGUUAAGUCAGAUGUGAAAUCCCCGGGCUCAACCUGGGAACUGCAUCUGAUACUGGCAAGCUUGAGUCUCGUAGAGGGGGGUAGAAUUCCAGGUGUAGCGGUGAAAUGCGUAGAGAUCUGGAGGAAUACCGGUGGCGAAGGCGGCCCCCUGGACGAAGACUGACGCUCAGGUGCGAAAGCGUGGGGAGCAAACAGGAUUAGAUACCCUGGUAGUCCACGCCGUAAACGAUGUCGACUUGGAGGUUGUGCCCUUGAGGCGUGGCUUCCGGAGCUAACGCGUUAAGUCGACCGCCUGGGGAGUACGGCCGCAAGGUUAAAACUCAAAUGAAUUGACGGGGGCCCGCACAAGCGGUGGAGCAUGUGGUUUAAUUCGAUGCAACGCGAAGAACCUUACCUGGUCUUGACAUCCACGGAAGUUUUCAGAGAUGAGAAUGUGCCUUCGGGAACCGUGAGACAGGUGCUGCAUGGCUGUCGUCAGCUCGUGUUGUGAAAUGUUGGGUUAAGUCCCGCAACGAGCGCAACCCUUAUCCUUUGUUGCCAGCGGUCCGGCCGGGAACUCAAAGGAGACUGCCAGUGAUAAACUGGAGGAAGGUGGGGAUGACGUCAAGUCAUCAUGGCCCUUACGACCAGGGCUACACACGUGCUACAAUGGCGCAUACAAAGAGAAGCGACCUCGCGAGAGCAAGCGGACCUCAUAAAGUGCGUCGUAGUCCGGAUUGGAGUCUGCAACUCGACUCCAUGAAGUCGGAAUCGCUAGUAAUCGUGGAUCAGAAUGCCACGGUGAAUACGUUCCCGGGCCUUGUACACACCGCCCGUCACACCAUGGGAGUGGGUUGCAAAAGAAGUAGGUAGCUUAACCUUCGGGAGGGCGCUUACCACUUUGUGAUUCAUGACUGGGGUGAAGUCGUAACAAGGUAACCGUAGGG
This 1510-nucleotide ribosomal RNA is filed under the name Escherichia coli. RNAcentral describes it as "bacterial SSU rRNA". It matches the Rfam family "Bacterial small subunit ribosomal RNA". The record is from RNAcentral. Lineage: Bacteria; Pseudomonadati; Pseudomonadota; Gammaproteobacteria; Enterobacterales; Enterobacteriaceae.